This 3247-nucleotide long non-coding RNA is filed under the name Lynx pardinus (Iberian lynx). Lineage: Eukaryota; Metazoa; Chordata; Mammalia; Carnivora; Felidae. The record is from RNAcentral.
CCCAGCUGCUACAGCGCGCGCCCGCGCCUCACGUGAGCGCGCGGGGCGGGGCCGAGGCCCUGGAGGGGUGGGGCGGGGGCGGGGGGCGGGUGGGAGGUGGGGCCUGAGCGAAGGAGCGGAUCCCCAGAGCCCAGGGCCUGUCAGGGGUUGGAUAGGCUGGGCUUGACGGUGCCUGGGAGCGGGAGGAGGGGGCGGCACUGAGUCGGAAGGGCGGGGCCUGAGGCUGCCGAGAGCCGAGGGAAGGGGCGGGGCUAUGCGGAAUGGGCGUAGACCCGGAGGGAGGCGGAGCCUUGCCCCUAUCCUGUCUGUCCAAUUUUCCCUCCCUCCAGAUGGAAGCACCGAUGGCAGAAUAUUAACUAUCAAUUUCUGGGCAAGAGGAAGAGACAUCUAGUUCCCCUGCGCCCGUGAGAGCCGGUGAGGGGCGGGGCCAAGAGAGGGCGCGGCCGAUAGGGGCGGGACCCCUGGGGAAAGCGGUUCCAGAGGCGGGGCCUAGCGGUGAGGUGGGGGAAGAGCAAGGUGUGAGCACCUAGUGGGUCCUCAGCAGCCGCUCCCUCCCAGGCUCCAGGACCUGGAGGGGUUGAGCCACGAUGCGAAGGGCCCCUAGGGCGGCUGUGGGACUCUGCGGGGUUACCCAUCCGUUCCUUUCUCUACCACAAACAGUUUUUUUAAAAGAUUGACGGAUCUGGGGCCCCUGGCUGGCUCAGUCACUGGAGCGUGUGACUCUUGAUCUCUGGGUUCCAGCCCCACACUGGGUAUAGAGGUUACUUAAAUAUAUAUAUAUAUAUAUAUAUAUAUAUUACAUAAAUACAUAUAUAAGUAAAUAUAUAUAUUUACUUUAUAUGUAUAUUUACUUAUAUAUGUAUUUAUGUAAAAAAAAUAUAUAUAUACACAGAAUCUAAAAGGUUGAUGGAUUUGACUAUUAAAAUUUCUGUUCAUCAAAAGGCACCUAAAAAUGUAAAAUAGGCAGGGGCGCCUGCGUGGCUCUGUCGGUUGCGCGUGGGUCUCGAUUUCUGCUCCAGUCGUGAUCUCUAUGUUCAGUGAGAUCGAACCCUGUGUCCGUCUCUGCACUGACAGCGUGGAGCCAGUUGGAGUUUCUCUCUCCCUCUCUCUCUCUCUCUCUCUCUGCCCUUCACCUGCUCACUUGCUCUCUCUCUCUCAAAAUAAAUAAACUUAAUUUUUUUUAAUGUUUAUUUGUUUUUGAGAGAGAGGGAGCAUGAGUACGGGAGGGACAGAGAGAGAGGUGGCACAGAGGAUCCAAAGCAGGCUCUGUGCUGACUGCAGCUAGCCCGAUGUGGGGCUCGAACUCAGAACAGCGGGUUUAUGACCUGAGCCGGAGUCGGAGUCGGGCACUUAACCAACUGAGCCACCCAGGCACCCCUCAAAAUAAAUUAAUUUAAAAAAGGGUAAAAUACACCGAGGGGCACCUGACUGGCUCAGUCAGCAGAGUAUGCAACUCUUGAUCUCAAGCUCAUGAAUUGGAGUCCCACGUUAGGCAUAGAGACUACUUUAAAACAAUAGUAAUAAUAAUAAAGGUAAAACAGCAUUCCAAACAAGUCUCCUGCCUAGCAACCUAAGAGAAAGGAAAGCUCUGGUUGCCUUGAAGGCACCAUCCUGGCAGUCAUCCUAUGACGCGCAUCUCUGAAUAUCUGUGUCCACCGCUGAGCGUGGUUCCGUUUCUCUGGGUAUCCAUCUCUGAUCUCUAUGUCCACUCAUUUAUUCAACAAAUACUUGUCAAGGGCCUAUUUUAGUUUGUGCCAGGUUUAUAUUCCGAGUCAUUGGGUAAAAGGAACUACUGAAGUCCCUGCCCUCAUGGGGCUUACAUUCUGGUUAGAGAGACCGACAAUAAAAAGAAGUCAGAGAUAAACAGUGUUGCUGUGCCUGAGAAGAACAAGCUGGGCCAGCUGCUUUAUAUGGAAUGAGCAGGGACUUUGUCUUAUCUAGAACAGUGCCUGACUCAUAAUUGGGGCUCAGUAAAUGGUUUUUUGUUUUUAUUUUUGUUUUGUUUGUUUUUUGGGGGGCUCGGUAAAUGUUGAAUGAAUGCAUGGGUUGGUCUGAGAAGGUAACUCUCAGUCAAGGUGUGAAGGAUGAGGGUCAGCCACUCCAGACCCUGGGAAGAGUGUUCUGAGCAGAGGGAACAGCCUACGUUCAGUGGGUGGCCCCUUGCCUCUGGCUGUCUGCCCUGGAGUCUCCCUGUUUGCUGUGUCUCUGUUUCUCUUUGCUGUCUCCGUGAUCUUGGGAAUCGGAGGGCAGGUUUAAACAGCGGCCCUCCAGGGUCUCUGGAAGUGAAGUCACUGCCGAUCUGAUUCACCCCCUGGACUCUGACCUAACUAGCCUGGCCUGGCCAUUCCUCCUGGAAGCAGGCCCUCCCCGUGGCCACCUGAGUCCCACAGCCUCUGGCUCCUUCCCAGAGUAGCAUCCUGUAACCCGGCAGGAAGUCCCUCAUGCUAUCUAACCACAGUCCUGCCGAGGGAGCCCCGGCCCUUCCUCUCAUUCUGCCUUGCAGGCAGAGGAGUCCUGCCUGGACAGAGAACCCAGUAAAGACCUAACACAGUGGGACUAAUACCCUCCUGCAGCCCCAGGGAGGCGAACCUCAGAGGGGCCGAGUGAUAACUCAUCUCAGAAGCCUCUGCCACAGCCAUUUUUCUCACUGAGUCCUUCAACACCCCGUUUUACAGACAGAAAUUCCGGCAGGCCCAGAGAGGAAAACGGGGCAGAACUGGGACCAGAACCCAGAUCUCUUGUCAAAAUAGUAAUAAUCGUAACAACAAAUCCGUAUUGCUCAUUUACUCUCUGCCAGGUACUAUGCUGACGCUUGGCGUGAGUUUUCUUUUUUAAGACUUUUCACAAACCUACAAGGCGGAUACCAUUAUUAUUUCCAUUAUCCUCAGAGGAGGAGACUGAGGCUCAGAGCCGUCACGUGACUUGCCCAAGGACACCCAGAGUGUUGGUGGCAGAGCUGCGUGUGACACCAAGCAGUGUGGAGUGCCCAGGUACACACCCUGCGCCCCGGGGCCCCAGAGGAGUGUCACGGAUGUCUGUUUUCCAGGGAUCUGGGGAGACAGGCUUCAGGUUCAUCACAUGAUUGUCCCAAGGCUGACUGGUGCCGAGCCACGAUGAGCAGGAAGAUGUCCUGGGAACAAUGCACAGUCCCAUGUCCCUCUCUGUGCGUGAAGAUUCUCUACGUUUGCCUUCUCCCCUGGGAUCUCCAUGUUUCUGCCCCUCACUGCCCAAAUAAAGCAGUUUUCAC